This is a long non-coding RNA of Strongylocentrotus purpuratus (purple sea urchin), 134 nucleotides long. RefSeq lists it as uncharacterized. The record is from RefSeq and is a predicted model, not a curated record. The transcript is spliced from 3 exons. Lineage: Eukaryota; Metazoa; Echinodermata; Echinoidea; Camarodonta; Strongylocentrotidae.
AUCUUCUUGUUAGAAUUCUUGUGAGUAAUGUGCCGCGGGAUUCCAUAUCCUUAAACUGCUGGCGAACAGAGCAACAAGACCAAGCUCUGUAAUUAUUAGGAUCUCUGUCCAGUAGUGCCGUGUUUGUGCCAUCG